Molecule: transfer RNA, 74 nt
Filed under: Streptomyces phage Annadreamy
Lineage: Duplodnaviria; Heunggongvirae; Uroviricota; Caudoviricetes; Stanwilliamsviridae
Also listed under: 2 other names
Description: tRNA-Ala
Rfam family: tRNA
About the family: Transfer RNA (tRNA) molecules are approximately 80 nucleotides in length. Their secondary structure includes four short double-helical elements and three loops (D, anti-codon, and T loops). Further hydrogen bonds mediate the characteristic L-shaped molecular structure. tRNAs have two regions of fundamental functional importance: the anti-codon, which is responsible for specific mRNA codon recognition, and the 3' end, to which the tRNAs corresponding amino acid is attached (by aminoacyl-tRNA synthetases). tRNAs cope with the degeneracy of the genetic code in two manners: having more than one tRNA (with a specific anti-codon) for a particular amino acid; and 'wobble' base-pairing, i.e. permitting non-standard base-pairing at the 3rd anti-codon position.
Source: RNAcentral
GGGGGUGUAGCUCCAAUGGUAGAGCAACAGCUUUGCAAGCUGAAGGCUGUCGGUUCGAAUCCGACCAUCUCCAC